RNAcentral lists this ribosomal RNA (245 nucleotides) under uncultured bacterium. Its description in RNAcentral is "partial 16S ribosomal RNA". It matches the Rfam family "Bacterial small subunit ribosomal RNA", at positions 524 to 768 of the family's 1533-position model. The record is from RNAcentral.
UACGUAGGGGGCAAGCGUUGUCCGGAAUCAUUGGGCGUAAAGCGCGUGUAGGCGGCCUUGUAAGUCCGUUCUGAAAGCCCGGGGCUCAACCCCGGGAGGCGGAUGGAUACUGCAAGGCUCGAGUACGGAAGAGGCGAGUGGAAUUCCCGGUGUAGCGGUGAAAUGCGCAGAUAUCGGGAGGAACACCAAUGGCGAAGGCAGCUCGCUGGGACGUUACUGACGCUGAGACGCGAAAGCGUGGGGAG